AGAUUGAACGCUGGCGGCAGGCCUAACACAUGCAAGUCGAGCGGUAGAGAGGUGCUUGCAUCUCUUGAGAGCGGCGGACGGGUGAGUAAUGCCUAGGAAUCUGCCUAGUGGUGGGGGAUAACGUUCGGAAACGGACGCUAAUACCGCAUACGUCCUACGGGAGAAAGCGGGGGACCUUCGGGCCUCGCGCCAUUAGAUGAGCCUAGGUCGGAUUAGCUAGUUGGUGAGGUAAUGGCUCACCAAGGCGACGAUCCGUAACUGGUCUGAGAGGAUGAUCAGUCACACUGGAACUGAGACACGGUCCAGACUCCUACGGGAGCAGCAGUGGGGAAUAGUUGGACAAUGGGCGAAAGCCUGAUCCAGCCAUGCCGCGUGUGCGAAGAACGGUCUUCGGAUUUAGAAAGCACUUUAAGUGGAAGUAAGGUUGUUAAACGUUUAAUACGUUGACUAACGUUUGAACGUUACCGACAGAAUAAGCACCG
This 482-nucleotide ribosomal RNA is filed under the name uncultured soil bacterium. RNAcentral describes it as "bacterial SSU rRNA". It matches the Rfam family "Bacterial small subunit ribosomal RNA", at positions 26 to 495 of the family's 1533-position model. The record is from RNAcentral.